This 253-nucleotide ribosomal RNA is filed under the name uncultured bacterium. RNAcentral's name for it is "partial 16S ribosomal RNA". It matches the Rfam family "Bacterial small subunit ribosomal RNA", at positions 524 to 776 of the family's 1533-position model. The record is from RNAcentral.
GACCGAGGUCCCGAGCGUUAGGCGGAAUCACUGGGCUUAAAGCGUGUGUAGGCGGAUUGGUAAGUACCUUGUGAAAUCCCACGGCUUAACCGUGGAACUGCUUGGUAUACUGCUUAUCUUGGGCCACUUAGGGGUUACCGGAACAAACGGUGGAGCGGUGAAAUGCGUAGAUAUCGUUUGGAACGCCAAUGGGGAAAACAGGUAACUGGGAGUGGGCCGACGCUGAGACACGAAAGCCAGGGGAGCGAACGGG